GAUGAACGCUGGCGGCGUGCGUAACACAUGCAAGUUGAACGACGAUGCCAUGAAGUGGUAACACGGAGUGGUAUACGGAGUAGCGGACGGGUGAGUAAAGCAUGAGAAUCUGUCCUGCCGAGGGGGAUAACGUUCGGAAACGGACCCUAAUACCCCAUAGUCCGAGAGGUUAAAGCGGAGACGCGCGGCAGGAGGAGCUCGUGUCCUAUCAGCUAGUUGGUGAGGUAAGGGCUCACCAAGGCUUCGACGGGUAGCCGGCCUGAGAGGGUGACCGGCCACACUGGAACUGAGAAACGGUCCAGACUCCUACGGCAGGCAGCAGUGGGGAAUAUUGGGCAAUGGGAGGAAUCCUGACCCAGCGACGCCGCGUGAACGAAGACGGCCUUCGGGUUGUAAAGUUCUUUUAUGUGGGAAGAAUUAAGUGACGGUACCACAUGAA
RNAcentral lists this ribosomal RNA (439 nucleotides) under Synergistetes bacterium oral taxon 358. RNAcentral describes it as "bacterial SSU rRNA". It matches the Rfam family "Bacterial small subunit ribosomal RNA", at positions 28 to 486 of the family's 1533-position model. Lineage: Bacteria; Thermotogati; Synergistota. The record is from RNAcentral.